RNAcentral lists this ribosomal RNA (496 nucleotides) under uncultured bacterium. RNAcentral's name for it is "partial 16S ribosomal RNA". It matches the Rfam family "Bacterial small subunit ribosomal RNA", at positions 28 to 506 of the family's 1533-position model. The record is from RNAcentral.
GAUGAACGCUGGCGGCGUGCCUAAUACAUGCAAGUCGAGCGAACAGACGAGGAGCUUGCUCCUCUGACGUUAGCGGCGGACGGGUGAGUAACACGUGGAUAACCUACCUAUAAGACUGGGAUAACUUCGGGAAACCGGAGCUAAUACCGGAUAAUAUAUUGAACCGCAUGGUUCAAUAGUGAAAGACGGUUUUGCUGUCACUUAUAGAUGGAUCCGCGCCGCAUUAGCUAGUUGGUAAGGUAACGGCUUACCAAGGCAACGAUGCGUAGCCGACCUGAGAGGGUGAUCGGCCACACUGGAACUGAGACACGGUCCAGACUCCUACGGGAGGCAGCAGUAGGGAAUCUUCCGCAAUGGGCGAAAGCCUGACGGAGCAACGCCGCGUGAGUGAUGAAGGUCUUCGGAUCGUAAAACUCUGUUAUUAGGGAAGAACAAAUGUGUAAGUAACUAUGCACGUCCUGACGGUACCUAAUCAGAAAACCACGGCUAACUACGU